Molecule: ribosomal RNA, 512 nt
Filed under: uncultured bacterium
Lineage: Bacteria
Description: partial 16S ribosomal RNA
Rfam family: Bacterial small subunit ribosomal RNA
Source: RNAcentral
GACGAACGCUGGCGGCGUGCCUAAUACAUGCAAGUCGAGCGGAUUGAUGGGAGCUUGCUCCCUGAUAUCAGCGGCGGACGGGUGAGUAACACGUGGGCAACCUGCCUAUAAGACUGGGAUAACUUCGGGAAACCGGAGCUAAUACCGGAUAAUCACUUUCCUCUCAUGAGGAAAGGCUGAAAGAUGGUUUACGCUAUCACUUAUAGAUGGGCCCGCGGCGCAUUAGCUAGUUGGUGAGGUAACGGCUCACCAAGGCAACGAUGCGUAGCCGACCUGAGAGGGUGAUCGGCCACACUGGGACUGAGACACGGCCCAGACUCCUACGGGAGGCAGCGGUAGGGAAUCUUCCGCAAUGGACGAAAGUCUGACGGAGCAACGCCGCGUGAGUGAUAAAGGUUUUCGGAUCGUAAAACUCUGUUGUCAGGGAAGAACAAGUACGAGAGUAACUGCUCGUACCUUGACGGUACCUAACCAGAAAGCCACGGCUAACUACGUGCCAGCCGCCGCCGUAA